GCUCUUCAACGAGGAAUCCCUAGUAAGCGUGAGUCAUCAGCUCGCGUUGAUUACGUCCCUGCCCUUUGUACACACCGCCCGUCGCUACUACCGAUUGAAUGGCUUAGUGAGACCCUCGGAUUGGUAUUCGUUGGCUGGAAACAGCUCUACGUUCUCUGAAAAGUUGGUCAAACUUGGUCAUUUAGAGGAAGUAAAAGUCGUAACAAGGUUUCCGUAGGUGAACCUGCGGAAGGAUCAUUAACGAACAGGAGAUUCUUUUUGAAUCUUUUGAGAUCAACCAAAACCUGUGUAAUAUAAUAAAUGUAUAUUUUAAUUAAUAUACUAUCAAACUAUAAUAAAAAUACAAAACUUUCAACAACGGACCUCUUGGCUCUUGCAUCGAUGAAGAGCGCAGCGAAUUGCGACAAGUAGUGUGAAUUGCAGAAUUCCGUGAAUCAUCGAAUCUUUGAACGCAUAUUGCACUCUUUGGUAUUCCGAAGAGUAUGCCUGUUUGAGGGUCAUUUGAAAAUUAAUCUAGAUAAUUUAUUGUCUGGGAAUUAAUGAAUUUUCCGUCAUCUUUUUGUUGAUGGUAAUUUGAAAUUAAUGCUAGGUCUUUGCUUGUAAAAGACGCGUUUAUGUACAUUGUAUAAUCUUCGCAACUAAUCAAGCUGUCUCUGCUAGUUUAAUUAUCCCUUUUGAAAGAAUAAAAAAGGAUAUUAAACAAUACUUUCUUAAAUAAUCGUGACCUCAAAUCAGGUAAGAAUACCCGCUGAACUUAAGCAUAUCAAUAAGCGGAGGAAAAGAAACUAACCAGGAUUCCCCUAGUAACGGCGAGUGAAGCGGGAAUAGCCCAAAUUUUAAAUCAAUCUUUAUGAUUGAGUUGUAAUUUGAAGAAUUGCUUUCCAUAUCUUGAUCCGAUGAAAAGUCUCUUGGAAUAGAGCAUCAUAGAGGGUGAUAAUCCCGUAUUCUGUCGUGAUCUUGAUAUCGUGUGUAGUAAUUUCAAAGAGUCGAGUUGUUUGGGAUUGCAGCUCAAAACGGGUGGUAAAUUCCAUCUAAGGCUAAAUAACGGCAAGAGACCGAUAGCGAACAAGUACCGUGAGGGAAAGAUGAAAAGAACUUUGAAAAGAGAGUUAAACAGUACGUGAAAUUGUUGAAAGGGAAACGAUUGAGGCCAGUCAUGCCUGCGAGAAAUCAAUCAUUUAAUCAGAUUUUCGAAUUUGAUUUUGUGGUGCACUUUUUCGCGUGGCAGGUUAGCAUCAACUUUGAUUGUUGUAAAAUGGUGGUCGGAAUGUGACUCUGUUUUUUCAGAGUGUUAUAGCCGGUUACAGAUGCAAUGAUUGUGGUUGAGGUUUGCGGCAAAUGCCUUUGGGCUACUUACCUUCCUUCUGUUUUGUUCACUUUGGAAUGACAGCUUGCUGACAUUGUUAAAGGGCGGACAAUCAAUAGGGUAGAGUUGGGAUAAAUUUGCCAAGGAUGCUGACGUAAUGACCUUAAACGACCCGUCUUGAAACACGGACCAAGGAGUCUAACAUGUAUGCGAGUGUUU
Molecule: non-coding RNA, 1525 nt
Filed under: Archaeospora spainiae
Lineage: Eukaryota; Fungi; Glomeromycota; Glomeromycetes; Archaeosporales; Archaeosporaceae
Description: sequence contains 18S rRNA gene, ITS1, 5.8S rRNA gene, ITS2 and 28S rRNA gene
Rfam family: Eukaryotic large subunit ribosomal RNA (bases 722-1525)
Source: RNAcentral